RNAcentral lists this ribosomal RNA (500 nucleotides) under uncultured bacterium. RNAcentral's name for it is "bacterial SSU rRNA". It matches the Rfam family "Bacterial small subunit ribosomal RNA", at positions 29 to 523 of the family's 1533-position model. The record is from RNAcentral.
AACGAACGCUGGCGGCGCGCCUAAUACAUGCAAGUCGAGCGAGAAGGUGUAGCAAUACACUUGUAAAGCGGCGAACGGGUGAGGAAUGCAUGGGUAACCUACCCUCGAGUGGGGAAUAACUAGCCGAAAGGUUAGCUAAUACCGCAUACGUUUCCGGAACUUCGGUUUCGGAAAGAAAGCAAUACCGUGGGUAUUGCGCUCCUGGAUGGGCUCAUGUCCUAUCAGCUUGUUGGUGAGGUAACGGCUCACCAAGGCUUCGACGGGUAGCUGGUCUGAGAGGACGAUCAGCCACACUGGCACUGCGACACGGGCCAGACUCCUACGGAGGCAGCAGUAAGGAAUAUUGCGCAAUGGACGAAAGUCUGACGCAGCGACGCCGCGUGGGGGAUGAAGGUCUUCGGAUUGUAAACCCCUUUCGGGAGGGAAGAUGGAGUGGGUAACCACUUGGACGGUACCUCCAGAAGCAGCCACGGCUAACUUCGUGCCAGCAGCCGCGGUAA